RNAcentral lists this ribosomal RNA (483 nucleotides) under uncultured bacterium. RNAcentral's name for it is "partial 16S ribosomal RNA". It matches the Rfam family "Bacterial small subunit ribosomal RNA", at positions 28 to 523 of the family's 1533-position model. The record is from RNAcentral.
AGUGAACGUUGGCGGCGUGGAUUAGGCAUGCGAGUCGAGCGAGAACCGUAGCAAUACGGGGACAGCGGCGAAAGGGAGAGUAACGCGUGGAUAAUCUACCCUCGGGACUGGGAUAGCCGCGGGAAACUGCGGGUAAUACCGGAUAAUGUCCUCGGACCAAAGGUGCGAUUCCGCCCGGGGAUGGGUCCGCGUCCUAGUAGCUAUUGGGUGGGGUAAUGGCCUACCAAGGCGAAGAUGGGUACGGGGUGUGAGAGCAUGCCCCCGCUCACUGGGACUGAGACACUGCCCAGACACCUACGGGUGGCUGCAGUCGAGAAUCUUCGGCAAUGGGCGCAAGCCUGACCGAGCGACGCCGCGUGCGGGAUGAAGGCCUUCGGGUUGUAAACCGCUGUCGGAGGGGAGGAAAUGCACGGGGGUUCUCCCUCGUGUUUGACCUAGCCUCAGAGGAAGGACGGGCUAAGUUCGUGCCAGCCGCCGCCGUAA